This 1285-nucleotide long non-coding RNA is filed under the name Chrysemys picta bellii (western painted turtle). RNAcentral describes it as "lncRNA (ENSCPBG00000012974.1)". The record is from RNAcentral. Lineage: Eukaryota; Metazoa; Chordata; Testudines; Emydidae.
UAGUAGUACAUUUACAACUAAAAUGAAAAAUAAGUCUAAAAGUACAUGCUUUAGUUAAUUUAUAGAUUUUAUAAUAUUACAAUAAAUUUUAAUAAUUUUAUAGAAACACUGUAAUUUAUUGUUCUAAUUUAUUGUCUACUUACAAUCUAAGUAGACAAGACACGCUGUUUCUCAAGGUUUUGUAUUGGAAUAUCUUGUGUGAACUAUUUUGACUCUCUACAGCCAUAUAAUAUUGAUAGAAAAUACACACUCUUUUUUUUGCCUUUGUGAAGCCUGCUUCUGCUUCUAUGUAUACAUAUUUGUAUAUCAGUGAAUACAUGCCAUGCUAGACAGGUUAUCAGGGAUUGUUCAGAUAAGCAAUUGAUUUCUGCACCAAAGGCACUUAGAUACUAAGUUAUCAUGGACACCAAAGAAAACCCUAAAAUAAAUACACAGAAAAGUUCUACACAUCUGUCUUACUCUGACAUAUAUGUAUACUUUCCUCCUGCAAAUCCUGGUAAUCAAUGGUGUCCUAAGAAGGGCAUAUUUUGUACCCAGUUCAACUCUGAAAGAUAAGUGGAGACUUUGAAAUCUCACGGAACUUCUACUAUGCUUAUUUUCCAUUCUUCUUAACAGGCCAGUAACCCAGGGGUCCCAUGGGUAGAACUGAACUGGUCACAUAAAGUCUUCUUGGUUGUGCUAUUCCACUGCUACCUUUGUGACAGUCUAGGUGGUAUGUGAAUAGCCAAAAAGCACAUCAAGUGCUACAUAACAAUGCAACUGCUAUUGCUUUAUUUUAGAAACUAACCUCUUGGAGAUGAUAACUCAAUGGAAGCUAUUAUUGCAAUCUCUCUCAAGCAGCAAGAGACAACAAGCCAGGAUAAUCACUCCCACUUAUGGCUCAAUACAGGUGCUGACAGAGGUAUCACUAAGUUCCAGGAAAGCACUUUUGAAGAUAAUCCUAAACUCCAGGGAGAAGUGUCAUCCAUAUUUGAUGUGUGCAAAGGCUGAAAUACCAUUUUAUCCAAUAACUGAAGUUUUACCUCUAUGCAUUUUGUGGAAAGCUGCAUCUGCUAUAUGCUCCCUCUUGGCAGCCUGGCACCCUGAAGAGUUGAAAUGCCAUCAUGUGGCUUUUGACAGGUACAGUAGGAGACACUUCUAGCUCAGUUAUGGUUUCUAUAGAAUCCUCACACAAAUAUACCAUGGCUGGGAGAAACCAGUAAGCUGUGGUGUGAUGAGUCUUAGAGGGGAUAUUAAACAGCAAAUUAGAAAUGGGUUUACAAUAUUAUGUGGCAGACACAAAGGC